This 78-nucleotide transfer RNA is filed under the name Rhodospirillaceae bacterium. RNAcentral's name for it is "tRNA-Asp". It matches the Rfam family "tRNA". Rfam says of the family: Transfer RNA (tRNA) molecules are approximately 80 nucleotides in length. Their secondary structure includes four short double-helical elements and three loops (D, anti-codon, and T loops). Lineage: Bacteria; Pseudomonadati; Pseudomonadota; Alphaproteobacteria; Rhodospirillales; Rhodospirillaceae. The record is from RNAcentral.
GGGGGUGUAGCUCAGUUGGUUUAGAGUACAUGCUUGUCACGCAUGAGGUCGCGGGUUCGAGACCCGUCACUCCCGCCA